This 1489-nucleotide ribosomal RNA is filed under the name uncultured Bordetella sp. RNAcentral's name for it is "partial 16S-23S ribosomal RNA intergenic spacer". It matches the Rfam family "Bacterial small subunit ribosomal RNA". The record is from RNAcentral. Lineage: Bacteria; Pseudomonadati; Pseudomonadota; Betaproteobacteria; Burkholderiales; Alcaligenaceae.
AGUUUGAUUAUGGCUCAGAUUGGACGCUGGCGGGAUCUUUACACAUGCAAGUCGAACAGCGGCACGGACUUCGGUCUGGUGGCGAGUGGCGAACAGGUGAGUAAUGUAUCGGAACGUGCCUAGUAGCGGGGGAUAACUACUGCGAAAGCGUAGCUAAUACCGCAUACGCCCUUCGGGGAAAGCGGGGGACCUUCGGGCCUCGCACUAUUAGAGCGGCCGAUAUCGGAUUAGCUAGUUGGUGGGGUAACGGCUCACCAAGGCGACGAUCCGUAGCGCUGGUUGAGAGGACGACCAGCCACACUGGGACUGAGACACGGCCCAGACUCUACGGGAGGCAGCAGUGGGGGAAUUUUGGACAAUGGGGAAACCCUGAUCCAGCCAUCCCGCGUGUGCGAUCAUGAAGGCCUUCGGGUUGUAAAGCACUUUUGGCAGGAAAGAAACGGCACGGGAUAAUACCCCGUGCAACUGACGAAACACCUGCAGAAUAAGCACCGGCUAACUACGUGCCAGCAGCCGCGGUAAUACGUAGGGUGCAAGCGUUAAUCAGAAUUACUGGGCGUAAAGCGUGCGCAGGCGGUUCGGAAAGAAAGAUGUGAAAUCCCAGAGCUUGGCGGAACUGCAUUUUUAACUACCGAGCUAGAGUGUGUCCAGAGGGAGGUGGAAUUUAAAAGCGUGUAGCAGUGAAAUGCGUAGAUAUGCGGAGGAACACCGAUGGCGAAGGCAGCCUCCUGGGAUAACACUGACGCUCAUGCACGAAAGCGUGGGGAGCAAACGGGAUUAGAUACCCUGGUAGUCCACGCCUAAACGAUGUCAACUAGCUGUUGGGGCCUUCGGGCCUUGGUAGCGCAGCUAACGCGUGAAGUUGACCGCCUGGGAGUACGGUCGCAAGAUUAAAACUCAAGGGAAUUGACGGGGACCCGCACAAGCGGUGGAUGAUGUGGAUUAAUUCGAUGCAACGCGAAAAACCUUACCUACCCUUGACAUGUCUGGAAUCCCGAAGAGAUUUGGGAGUGCUCGCAAGAGAACCGGAACACAGGUGCUGCAUGGCUGUCGUCAGCUCGUGUCGUGAGAUGUUGGGUUAAGUCCCGCAACGAGCGCAACCCUUGUCAUUAGUUGCUACGAAGAAGAUACUCUAGUAGGACUGCGGUGACAAACCGGAGGAAGGUGGGGAUGACGUCAAGUCCUCAUGGCCCUUAUGGGUAGGGCUUCACACGUCAUACAAUGGUCGGGACAGAGGGUCGCCAACCCGCGAGGGAGCCAAUCCCAGGAAACCCGAUCGUAGUCCGGAUCGCAGUCUGCAACUCGACUGCGUGAAGUCGGAAUCGCUGGUAAUCGCGGAUCAGCAUGUCGCGGUGAAUACGUUCCCGGGUCUUGUACACACCGCCCGUCACACCAUGGGAGUGGGUUUUACCAGAAGUAGUUAGCCUAACCGUAAGGAGGGCGAUUACCACGGUAGGAUUCAUGACUGGGGUGAAGUCGUAUAAGGUAA